GGCAUGUUAGCUCAUUUGGUUAGAGCGCCGUGCUUUUAACGCGGAGGUCAUGAGUUCGAUCCUCUUACGGGCCA
This is a non-coding RNA of Daphnia pulex (common water flea), 74 nucleotides long. Lineage: Eukaryota; Metazoa; Arthropoda; Branchiopoda; Diplostraca; Daphniidae. The record is from Rfam.